RNAcentral lists this ribosomal RNA (49 nucleotides) under Pseudomonas lutea. RNAcentral's name for it is "23S rRNA. Bacterial LSU". The record is from RNAcentral. Lineage: Bacteria; Pseudomonadati; Pseudomonadota; Gammaproteobacteria; Pseudomonadales; Pseudomonadaceae.
GUGAGGCGUUGAGCUAACCGAUACUAAUUGCCCGUGAGGCUUGACCAUA